AUUGAACGCUGGCGGCAGGCCUAACACAUGCAAGUCGAGCGGAUGAAGGGAGCUUGCUCCUGGAUUCAGCGGCGGACGGGUGAGUAAUGCCUAGGAAUCUGCCUGGUAGUGGGGGAUAACGUCCGGAAACGGGCGCUAAUACCGCAUACGUCCUGAGGGAGAAAGUGGGGGAUCUUCGGCCCUCACGCUAUCAGAGGAGCCUAGGUCGGAUUAGCUAGUUGGUGGGGUAAAGGCCUACCAAGGCGACGAUCCGUAACUGGUCUGAGAGGAUGAUCAGUCACACUGGAACUGAGACACGGUCCAGACUCCUACGGGAGGCAGCAGUGGGGAAUAUUGGACAAUGGGCGAAAGCCUGAUCCAGCCAUGCCGCGUGUGUGAAGAAGGUCUUCGGAUUGUAAAGCACUUUAAGUUGGGAGGAAGGGCAGUAAGUUAAUACCUUGCUGUUUUGACGUUACCAACAGAAUAAGCACCGGCUAACUUCGUG
RNAcentral lists this ribosomal RNA (484 nucleotides) under uncultured bacterium. RNAcentral's name for it is "partial 16S ribosomal RNA". It matches the Rfam family "Bacterial small subunit ribosomal RNA", at positions 30 to 507 of the family's 1533-position model. The record is from RNAcentral.